ACUUUUUGAACAAAAUUGAUGGAUCAAACUCUCCUUUUCUUGCCAGGAGAAUAGUCCUGGACUGAGCUUCAGAAGAUCUCAGAUCACUGACGUUCUGUCUAGAAGAAUACUCCAAGAUAUAUUUCUAAGUAAUAUUCCUUCUCUUGUUGGGGGAAAUUAGAGAAGAUUUCUACCUGGUGCCAUAUCAACUCAAGGAUGGAGUCAAAUACUGAGAGGCUCUGUCAUCUGUCUUUGGAUCUCCUUCUGUGAAAAUUCUAACAAGGAGCAAACAGCAAAGAACUGAAAUGCUAUACAGACUCCAGUGAGAAAAAACUGAGGUAAUUGGUUUCGGUGUGCUGGUGCUUGAAACUCUAUCCCAGUGCUUCCUUCAACUAAGGCUGCAAAUUGAAAAUGUGAAGAACCUUGCCUGCUUGAACCAGCCUGGGCUUGUGGCAGCAUCAUUCUGUCACUUAAUUCUUCUCACAGAGGUAAUGCCUAUUAAGUGACUUAGCAAGGGCGUGCAUGAUGUAGUCACGAGAUGGAUAUUGGUAACAGUGAUUCCUUGCUGGUACUUUCUAUUAAGUCUAGGUUUCUUGUCACUCAUUGAUCGACCGCACAAAAUCUCACCUGCUAAAUAAUUUGCCCAGGCUUCCACAUCAUUGUACCUGUAUUGAUGAUCCCCAGUGCACAAGAUUACCACGUGAAUGGCAAUGAAAUUUGUGGCGCUGAUACUCAGGGUCUCCACCAGCGAUGUAUAUCACUAUUAAUUUCACUUUGUAUUUCAGAAAGCCGAACCUUUUAAAAUGGAGCUUAUUGCACCAAAAAUAGUUGGAAAUAGAGUAAAACCAAAGAGAAAACCUUAACAACUAUAUAUUUUUAUUUGUUUUAGCAGGAACAUUUUUCUAUUCAUGUUCCAGAUUAUUUUCUAAAGUAAAAUAUAUUGAUUGUAAAUUUUUUUUUCCAAAAAAGCUACAUCAAUUUAUAUUCAACUAAGUUCUGGCCACACAAAGGAAAAUAAGCAAAUAAAAAUAACUUUCGACUCCCCCAAACUCAAAGAUAUCCAGUUAUCUAAGCUUCCAAUGUUUUCUUGUAAAAGUGGUCGCUACCCUGAGGAUAAACUUGAAUAUGUACAUCCUAUAUCCCUAGAUUUCUUUCUUACGCCCUCAAGACUAACCAGAAGAAAAAACGCUUUCUCUUCCAGAAAAUGCAGCAACUGUACUUCGGUUUUACAUAUAUUAUUCUGAAGGUGAUAUGUAAAUAAGAUUUUUCUGGAAAAAGAAGCAAUCAAAAUAUUUUGGUUCAGUUUGGCUAAUGAAAUUCUUGUGUUUUUACUUCUCAUGACUCACUACCAAAA
Homo sapiens (human) is the source of this 1333-nucleotide long non-coding RNA. Ensembl annotates it as long intergenic non-protein coding RNA 1592. NCBI's taxonomy places the organism in Eukaryota, Metazoa, Chordata, Mammalia, Primates, Hominidae. The record is from Ensembl.